RNAcentral lists this ribosomal RNA (753 nucleotides) under Bacillus sp. (in: firmicutes). Its description in RNAcentral is "bacterial SSU rRNA". It matches the Rfam family "Bacterial small subunit ribosomal RNA", at positions 405 to 1151 of the family's 1533-position model. Lineage: Bacteria; Bacillati; Bacillota; Bacilli; Caryophanales; Bacillaceae. The record is from RNAcentral.
GUGAUGAAGGUUUUCGGAUCGUAAAGCUCUGUUGUUAGGGAAGAACAAGUGCGAGAGUAACUGCUCGCACCUUGACGGUACCUAACCAGAAAGCCACGGCUAACUACGUGCCAGCAGCCGCGGUAAUACGUAGGUGGCAAGCGUUGUCCGGAAUUAUUGGGCGUAAAGGGCUCGCAGGCGGUUUCUUAAGUCUGAUGUGAAAGCCCCCGGCUCAACCGGGGAGGGUCAUUGGAAACUGGGAAACUUGAGUGCAGAAGAGGAGAGUGGAAUUCCACGUGUAGCGGUGAAAUGCGUAGAGAUGUGGAGGAACACCAGUGGCGAAGGCGACUCUCUGGUCUGUAACUGACGCUGAGGAGCGAAAGCGUGGGGAGCGAACAGGAUUAGAUACCCUGGUAGUCCACGCCGUAAACGAUGAGUGCUAAGUGUUAGGGGGUUUCCGCCCCUUAGUGCUGCAGCUAACGCAUUAAGCACUCCGCCUGGGGAGUACGGUCGCAAGACUGAAACUCAAAGGAAUUGACGGGGGCCCGCACAAGCGGUGGAGCAUGUGGUUUAAUUCGAAGCAACGCGAAGAACCUUACCAGGUCUUGACAUCCUCUGACAACCCUAGAGAUAGGGCUUUCCCUUCGGGGACAGAGUGACAGGUGGUGCAUGGUUGUCGUCAGCUCGUGUCGUGAGAUGUUGGGUUAAGUCCCGCAACGAGCGCAACCCUUGAUCUUAGUUGCCAGCAUUUAGUUGGGCACUCUAAGGUGACUG